RNAcentral lists this ribosomal RNA (396 nucleotides) under Triticum aestivum (bread wheat). RNAcentral describes it as "partial small subunit ribosomal RNA". The record is from RNAcentral. Lineage: Eukaryota; Viridiplantae; Streptophyta; Magnoliopsida; Poales; Poaceae.
AUGGCGCGCGGCGUGGCGGCGGCUACCAAGGGCGGCGCGGGCGCCGGGAAGAAGAAGGGGUCGGUCACCUUCGUGAUCGACUGCACCAAGCCCGUCGACGACAAGAUCAUGGAGAUCGCGUCGCUUGAGAAGUUCCUGCAGGAGCGCAUCAAGGUCGCCGGGGGCAAGGCCGGCAACCUCGGGGACUCCGUCACCGUCGCCCGCGACAAGAGCAAGGUCACCGUCACCUCCGACGGGGCCUUCUCCAAGAGGUACUUGAAGUACUUGACGAAGAAGUACCUGAAGAAGCACAACGUGCGUGACUGGCUUCGGGUGAUUUCAUCCAACAAGGACCGCAGCGUCUACGAGCUCCGGUACUUCAACAUUGCUGAGAACGAGGGCGAGGAGGAGGACUAG